GCUUAUGGCCAUACCACCCUGUCUAUGCCGGAUCUCCUCUGAUCUCGGAAGCUAAGUAGGGUCGGGCCUGGUUAGUACUUGGAUGGGAGACCGCCUGGGAAUACCAGGUGCUGUAAGCU
Molecule: ribosomal RNA, 119 nt
Filed under: Sinocyclocheilus rhinocerous
Lineage: Eukaryota; Metazoa; Chordata; Actinopteri; Cypriniformes; Cyprinidae
Source: RNAcentral